Molecule: ribosomal RNA, 468 nt
Filed under: uncultured bacterium
Lineage: Bacteria
Description: partial 16S ribosomal RNA
Rfam family: Bacterial small subunit ribosomal RNA
Source: RNAcentral
GACGAACGCUGGCGGCGUGCUUAACACAUGCAAGUCGAACGGAAAGGCCCUGCUUUUGUGGGGUGCUCGAGUGGCGAACGGGUGAGUAACACGUGAGUAACCUGCCCUUGACUUUGGGAUAACUUCAGGAAACUGGGGCUAAUACCGGAUAGGAGCUCCUGCUGCAUGGUGGGGGUGGGAAAGUUUCGGCGGUUGGGGAUGGACUGGCGGCUUAUCAGCUUGUUGGUGGGGUAGUGGCUUACCAAGGCUUUGACGGGUAGCCGGCCUGAGAGGGUGACCGGCCACAUUGGGACUGAGAUACGGCCCAGACUCCUACGGGAGGCAGCAGUGGGGAAUAUUGCACAAUGGGCGGAAGCCUGAUGCAGCAACGCCGCGUGCGGGAUGACGGCCUUCGGGUUGUAAACCGCUUUCGCCUGUGACGAAGCGUGAGUGACGGUAAUGGGUAAAGAAGCACCGGCUAACUACGUG